GUCCACGCCGUAAACGAUGAGUGCUAGGUGUUAGACCCUUUCCGGGGUUUAGUGCCGUAGCUAACGCAUUAAGCACUCCGCCUGGGGAGUACGACCGCAAGGUUGAAACUCAAAGGAAUUGACGGGGGCCCGCACAAGCGGUGGAGCAUGUGGUUUAAUUCGAAGCAACGCGAAGAACCUUACCAGGUCUUGACAUCCCUCUGACCGCUCUAGAGAUAGAGUUUUCCUUCGGGACAGAGGUGACAGGUGGUGCAUGGUU
Molecule: ribosomal RNA, 259 nt
Filed under: uncultured bacterium
Lineage: Bacteria
Description: partial 16S ribosomal RNA
Rfam family: Bacterial small subunit ribosomal RNA
Source: RNAcentral